RNAcentral lists this ribosomal RNA (496 nucleotides) under uncultured bacterium. RNAcentral describes it as "partial 16S ribosomal RNA". It matches the Rfam family "Bacterial small subunit ribosomal RNA", at positions 28 to 506 of the family's 1533-position model. The record is from RNAcentral.
GAUGAACGCUGGCGGCGUGCCUAAUACAUGCAAGUCGAGCGAACAGACGAGGAGCUUGCUCCUCUGAUGUUAGCGGCGGACGGGUGAGUAACACGUGGAUAACCUACCUAUAAGACUGGGAUAACUUCGGGAAACCGGAGCUAAUACCGGAUAACAUGUUGAACCGCAUGGUUCAACAGUGAAAGACGGUCUUGCUGUCACUUAUAGAUGGAUCCGCGCCGCAUUAGCUAGUUGGUAAGGUAACGGCUUACCAAGGCAACGAUGCGUAGCCGACAUGAGAGGGUGAUCGACCACACUGGAACUGAGACACGGUCCAGACUCCUACGGGAGGCAGCAGUAGGGAAUCUUCCGCAAUGGGCGAAAGCCUGACGGAGCAACGCCGCGUGAGUGAAGAAGGUCUUCGGAUCGUAAAACUCUGUUAUUAGGGAAGAACAAAUGUGUAAGUAACUAUGCACGUCUUGACGGUACCUAAUCAGAAAGCCACGGCUAACUACGU